Molecule: ribosomal RNA, 270 nt
Filed under: uncultured archaeon
Lineage: Archaea
Description: partial 16S ribosomal RNA
Rfam family: Archaeal small subunit ribosomal RNA
Source: RNAcentral
CUGCAGCCCGAGUGGUGAUCGAUUUUAUUGAGCCUAAAGCGUCCGUAGCCGGACUAGUAAACCCUUGGGUAAAUUGGGCAGCUUAACUGUCCAAAUUCCGAGGGGACUGCUAGUCUUGGGACCGGGAGAGGUCAGAGGUACUCAAGGGGUAGGGGCUAAAUCCUGUAAUCCUUUGGGGACCACCAGUGGCGAAGGCGUCUGACUAGAACGGAUCCGACGGUAAGGGCCGAAACCCUGGGGCGCGAACCGGAUUAGAUACCCGAGUAGUCC